Rhagoletis zephyria (snowberry fruit fly) is the source of this 702-nucleotide long non-coding RNA. RefSeq lists it as uncharacterized. Lineage: Eukaryota; Metazoa; Arthropoda; Insecta; Diptera; Tephritidae. The record is from RefSeq and is a predicted model, not a curated record.
GCCCCAACUAUGACCACGCGUCGCUUGGCAGUAGCCCAGGUCAACCUGCAUCAUGCGGUGGCUGCUUCGGCGGUCAUCUCCAGCAGGUUCGCCACGGAUGACCUGGGCAUUCUACUGAUCCAAGAGCCGUGGACCUACAGAGGCCAGGUUAGGGGCCUCAACCACAACAACAACAAGAGUUUCUAACACAGGACUUGGUCGCGGUGCAGACGUCGCUCUCGCUAAGUGGCAGAAGCCUAGAGGUGGUGUUUGCCGCGGCUUAUUUCCCGGGGGACAGCAACUACGCCCCUCCGCAAGAGGUACAGCAGCUAGUAGAAUUCUGCAGGAAGAGAAGGCUCCACCUCAUCAUAGGGUGCGAUGCGAAUGCCCACAAUGUCGAGUGGGGCAGCACGGAUACGAACCGCAGAGGUGAGUGUCUCCUAGAGUACAUCUUAAGUGAGGAACUAAGCAUCCACAAUGUUGGCCAAACACCGACAUUUGUAACGAGGGCUAGAGAGGAGGUACUAGACAUCACGCUUAGCAACAGACUGGCUAGCCCUCUGGUCACCCAGUGGGGGGUCUCAUCGGAGCCCUCACUGUCAGACCAUAGGAUUAUCCAGUUUGCACUGGGAGUAGAGGUCAUAACUAGGCAGGCAAACAGGAACCCCAGGAAAACUGACUGGACAAAGUACAGCGAGACUUUAGAGUCAAACCUAACUGGAA